Molecule: ribosomal RNA, 253 nt
Filed under: uncultured bacterium
Lineage: Bacteria
Description: partial 16S ribosomal RNA
Rfam family: Bacterial small subunit ribosomal RNA
Source: RNAcentral
UACAGAGGUGGCAAGCGUUGUUCGGAAUUACUGGGCGUAAAGGGCGCGUAGGCGGCCAACUAAGUCAGACGUGAAAUCCCUCGGCUUAACCGGGGAACUGCGUCUGAUACUGGAUGGCUAGAGGUUGGGAGAGGGAUGCGGAAUUCCAGGUGUAGCGGUGAAAUGCGUAGAUAUCGGGAGGAACACCAGUGGCGAAGGCGGCGAUCUGGGCAGAUACUGACGCUGAGGUGCGAAAGCGUGGGGAGCAAACAGG